RNAcentral lists this long non-coding RNA (1321 nucleotides) under Solanum lycopersicum (tomato). RNAcentral's name for it is "long non-coding RNA (SLYC_LNC001225)". Lineage: Eukaryota; Viridiplantae; Streptophyta; Magnoliopsida; Solanales; Solanaceae. The record is from RNAcentral.
GACUAUAUAUCAAGUCAAUUAAAGAAAAAAAAAAGGUGUCCAUUCAUAUCUUAUCCCAGUGUGAGCAUGAACUGUAAAUUUAAACAACAUCAAAGUGAGAAAGGCAUAGGUAACUCAAUCAAUUCUUGUAAAAGAUAAACAAAAUCCAAUAUACUAAUAUUAAGCAUGGAAAGAAAAUGUUACAAGAAGAUGCUCCUAAUUGUACUAGUUGUCACCAUAAUAAAGGUGCAACAAGUAACUGAAGCAUUAGAUGAUGUUGAUGAAUUCUUGAUGGAAUCACAAACAAGCACUAUGAUUCUUGCUGGUAAUGCUAGAGACCAACAUCUAUCUUUCGACGCGACGGGGAGUAAAGGAGAGAUAUGUAAGGAAAAUAUUAAAGGUAAUUGCAUCGAUAAUGAGAACCUUAACGCACAACACUGCACCUAUGGUAGCCGUUGCAAACAUGAUGUAAUAUCCUCGUAAAUAUAUGGUCUCCAAAAGCCUGUUUAAUUUGCUUUACUAGCUUGAACCAAUUAAUAAUAUCUUCUCUUGUCUUGUUAAAGAAAUGAACUUCUUGUAUGUAUUUGUUGUGUGUCGUGAGUACUAAAUGCUUAUCAAAUUGAUGAUGGUGUCUUAUUUGACUCCAAUUCAAUCACAAUUGGUCUCAAAACUCUAAUAUAUCACUAUGAUUUUGGUUGAAAUAACAAAAUCGUGAAAAGGUAUUAACAAUUACUAAGAUUAUAUUUGUACACGAUUGAAAACAUGAGCAACAAAGUGCUAAAAUAAAUCGUUUCUUGAUGUCUAUUUCACGUUUCUGGUCUAAGCUAGCUCAAAGAGGAAUGACUUUUAAUUUACUCAUGUUCGAUAAUUUUGUCAAGCCCGACCUCAUUUAAUUGCAUUAAGAUUUAAAUAUCUAAAUUUAAAUAUACAUCUGAAUGAUUACUAUAUUGUCUCUAUAUCUGAAACAUUAAAUGAUUAAUGUUGUUAUCUUACCAAGUAUAGUAUGAGUUAAGUUUUUUAAAAAAAGGUAUAUAUUCAAACAGGUCCGGAAGUUGUGUAAGAAGUUCGACUAUUGCCCAAGUGCAUUGAAGCCAAAAGUUUGAAAGGUCGAUUGUCAAUUUGUCAUAAUUAGUGUGUUUGAGAAAAAAUCUAAUGAAAUUCAGUUCAAACUUACUGAAUUUGCUUUAAAUCGCGUCAAACGAUACUGAAGAUUACCAUUGAAGCAGGGAGGAUUGUCCACUUUUAUUAAAAGUAUAUUUUUAUUUUUAGUUGUUACUAUUAGCAUAUCAAGGAAAAAAAUUAUUUUUCCCUCAUGUGUUACUGUUAGAGCGAUCAAUAUGAG